GCCCCAGUAGCUCAGUGGACAGAGCAGAGGUUUCCUAAACCUUGUGCCGCAGGUUCGAUUCCUGCCUGGGGUA
RNAcentral lists this transfer RNA (73 nucleotides) under Chloroflexota bacterium. RNAcentral's name for it is "Chloroflexi bacterium (oil production facility metagenome) tRNA-Arg". It matches the Rfam family "tRNA". Rfam says of the family: Transfer RNA (tRNA) molecules are approximately 80 nucleotides in length. Their secondary structure includes four short double-helical elements and three loops (D, anti-codon, and T loops). Further hydrogen bonds mediate the characteristic L-shaped molecular structure. tRNAs have two regions of fundamental functional importance: the anti-codon, which is responsible for specific mRNA codon recognition, and the 3' end, to which the tRNAs corresponding amino acid is attached (by aminoacyl-tRNA synthetases). tRNAs cope with the degeneracy of the genetic code in two manners: having more than one tRNA (with a specific anti-codon) for a particular amino acid; and 'wobble' base-pairing, i.e. permitting non-standard base-pairing at the 3rd anti-codon position. Lineage: Bacteria; Bacillati; Chloroflexota. The record is from RNAcentral.